GCCCCGCCCACUCCGCGUGGGCGGGGCUUUGCGGGAGGGCAGGUGGCGAGGUUCUCGCCCCGAGAGUGGGAGGCGGGACGCGGCAGGUCAGCAAAGUGCUACUUUAGGUCUUUUUGUAUUCUAACUCCUGUUUCAGGGCCGUGAUGAUGAAGUUCGCCACUUUUCCUUUUCUUAUGCCCUUCAUUCGUGUUUUGGAGAGGGAGCGGGGAGGUGCCCGCAAUUAGUAUUCUCUCUUCUUCCCUGGCUAUUAGCAAGAGCAGUCCACUGGGUAUCGUGGGCACAGAGCAAUUGUACCUUUUGGGAGACAGUAAUGAAGCAGAUUGGAUGCAGUUCCCCGCCCCCGCAACAAAAAAGUGAGCUGGACAAUAGGUCAGAAGAAAUAUCCAAACUGAAACAAAGAGAGACAAGAUGGAAAAGAUACAAUAGAAAAGAAAAUACUAUUCAUGUGACAUGGAGUUAAAAAUGUCUACAAUUGGAGUCUUUGCUGGGGAGGACUGAGAGAAUGGGGUAGAAGCAAUCUGUGAAGACAUAUGAGUGAAAGUUUUCCAAAACUGAUGAAAGAUACCAAACCAUAGAAGCAAGAGGAUAAGCCUUCAAACAGGGACUUGGCUUCCAUGGGAAGAUGGAAAUGGGCAGUUUCUUCAGGCAUGUCGUUAUAGAUCCAAACUCCGAAUUAUAGAAGGAGAGAGAGAACCAGAGAGCACAAGUGAGAACAGCAGAGGG
Molecule: long non-coding RNA, 723 nt
Organism: Canis lupus familiaris (dog)
Lineage: Eukaryota; Metazoa; Chordata; Mammalia; Carnivora; Canidae
Exons: 4
Source: RefSeq, a predicted model, not a curated record